GGGAAUAGCUCAGCUGGUAGAGCACCACCUUGCCAAGGUGGAUGUCGCGGGUUCGAGUCCCGUUUCCC
This 68-nucleotide transfer RNA is filed under the name marine eukaryotic metagenome. It matches the Rfam family "tRNA". Rfam says of the family: Transfer RNA (tRNA) molecules are approximately 80 nucleotides in length. Their secondary structure includes four short double-helical elements and three loops (D, anti-codon, and T loops). The record is from RNAcentral.